GUUAAGCGACUAAGCGUACACGGUGGAUGCCCUGGCAGUCAGAGGCGAUGAAGGACGUGCUAAUCUGCGAUAAGCGUCGGUAAGGUGAUAUGAACCGUUAUAACCGGCGAUUUCCGAAUGGGGAAACCCAGUGUGAUUCGUCACACUAUCAUUAACUGAAUCCAUAGGUUAAUGAGGCGAACCGGGGGAACUGAAACAUCUAAGUACCCCGAGGAAAAGAAAUCAACCGAGAUUCCCCCAGUAGCGGCGAGCGAACGGGGAGGAGCCCAGAGCCUGAAUCAGUGUGUGUGUUAGUGGAAGCGUCUGGAAAGGCGCGCGAUACAGGGUGACAGCCCCGUACACAAAAAUGCACAUACUGUGAGCUCGAUGAGUAGGGCGGGACACGUGGUAUCCUGUCUGAAUAUGGGGGGACCAUCCUCCAAGGCUAAAUACUCCUGACUGACCGAUAGUGAACCAGUACCGUGAGGGAAAGGCGAAAAGAACCCCGGCGAGGGGAGUGAAAAAGAACCUGAAACCGUGUACGUACAAGCAGUGGGAGCCUCUUUAUGGGGUGACUGCGUACCUUUUGUAUAAUGGGUCAGCGACUUAUAUUCUGUAGCAAGGUUAACCGAAUAGGGGAGCCGAAGGGAAACCGAGUCUUAACUGGGCGUUAAGUUGCAGGGUAUAGACCCGAAACCCGGUGAUCUAGCCAUGGGCAGGUUGAAGGUUGGGUAACACUAACUGGAGGACCGAACCGACUAAUGUUGAAAAAUUAGCGGAUGACUUGUGGCUGGGGGUGAAAGGCCAAUCAAACCGGGAGAUAGCUGGUUCUCCCCGAAAGCUAUUUAGGUAGCGCCUCGUGAAUUCAUCUCCGGGGGUAGAGCACUGUUUCGGCAAGGGGGUCAUCCCGACUUACCAACCCGAUGCAAACUGCGAAUACCGGAGAAUGUUAUCACGGGAGACACACGGCGGGUGCUAACGUCCGUCGUGAAGAGGGAAACAACCCAGACCGCCAGCUAAGGUCCCAAAGUCAUGGUUAAGUGGGAAACGAUGUGGGAAGGCCCAGACAGCCAGGAUGUUGGCUUAGAAGCAGCCAUCAUUUAAAGAAAGCGUAAUAGCUCACUGGUCGAGUCGGCCUGCGCGGAAGAUGUAACGGGGCUAAACCAUGCACCGAAGCUGCGGCAGCGACGCUUAUGCGUUGUUGGGUAGGGGAGCGUUCUGUAAGCCUGUGAAGGUGUGCUGUGAGGCAUGCUGGAGGUAUCAGAAGUGCGAAUGCUGACAUAAGUAACGAUAAAGCGGGUGAAAAGCCCGCUCGCCGGAAGACCAAGGGUUCCUGUCCAACGUUAAUCGGGGCAGGGUGAGUCGACCCCUAAGGCGAGGCCGAAAGGCGUAGUCGAUGGGAAACAGGUUAAUAUUCCUGUACUUGGUGUUACUGCGAAGGGGGGACGGAGAAGGCUAUGUUGGCCGGGCGACGGUUGUCCCGGUUUAAGCGUGUAGGCUGGUUUUCCAGGCAAAUCCGGAAAAUCAAGGCUGAGGCGUGAUGACGAGGCACUACGGUGCUGAAGCAACAAAUGCCCUGCUUCCAGGAAAAGCCUCUAAGCAUCAGGUAACAACAAAUCGUACCCCAAACCGACACAGGUGGUCAGGUAGAGAAUACCAAGGCGCUUGAGAGAACUCGGGUGAAGGAACUAGGCAAAAUGGUGCCGUAACUUCGGGAGAAGGCACGCUGAUAUGUAGGUGAAGCGACUUGCUCGUGGAGCUGAAAUCAGUCGAAGAUACCAGCUGGCUGCAACUGUUUAUUAAAAACACAGCACUGUGCAAACACGAAAGUGGACGUAUACGGUGUGACGCCUGCCCGGUGCCGGAAGGUUAAUUGAUGGGGUUAGCGGUAACGCGAAGCUCUUGAUCGAAGCCCCGGUAAACGGCGGCCGUAACUAUAACGGUCCUAAGGUAGCGAAAUUCCUUGUCGGGUAAGUUCCGACCUGCACGAAUGGCGUAAUGAUGGCCAGGCUGUCUCCACCCGAGACUCAGUGAAAUUGAACUCGCUGUGAAGAUGCAGUGUACCCGCGGCAAGACGGAAAGACCCCGUGAACCUUUACUAUAGCUUGACACUGAACAUUGAGCCUUGAUGUGUAGGAUAGGUGGGAGGCUUUGAAGUGUGGACGCCAGUCUGCAUGGAGCCGACCUUGAAAUACCACCCUUUAAUGUUUGAUGUUCUAACGUUGGCCCCUUAUCGGGGUUGCGGACAGUGUCUGGUGGGUAGUUUGACUGGGGCGGUCUCCUCCUAAAGAGUAACGGAGGAGCACGAAGGUUGGCUAAUCCUGGUCGGACAUCAGGAGGUUAGUGCAAUGGCAUAAGCCAGCUUGACUGCGAGCGUGACGGCGCGAGCAGGUGCGAAAGCAGGUCAUAGUGAUCCGGUGGUUCUGAAUGGAAGGGCCAUCGCUCAACGGAUAAAAGGUACUCCGGGGAUAACAGGCUGAUACCGCCCAAGAGUUCAUAUCGACGGCGGUGUUUGGCACCUCGAUGUCGGCUCAUCACAUCCUGGGGCUGAAGUAGGUCCCAAGGGUAUGGCUGUUCGCCAUUUAAAGUGGUACGCGAGCUGGGUUUAGAACGUCGUGAGACAGUUCGGUCCCUAUCUGCCGUGGGCGCUGGAGAACUGAGGGGGGCUGCUCCUAGUACGAGAGGACCGGAGUGGACGCAUCACUGGUGUUCGGGUUGUCAUGCCAAUGGCACUGCCCGGUAGCUAAAUGCGGAAGAGAUAAGUGCUGAAAGCAUCUAAGCACGAAACUUGCCCCGAGAUGAGUUCUCCCUGACCCUUUAAGGGUCCUGAAGGAACGUUGAAGACGACGACGUUGAUAGGCCGGGUGUGUAAGCGCAGCGAUGCGU
Molecule: ribosomal RNA, 2865 nt
Filed under: Escherichia coli
Lineage: Bacteria; Pseudomonadati; Pseudomonadota; Gammaproteobacteria; Enterobacterales; Enterobacteriaceae
Description: partial 23S ribosomal RNA
Rfam family: Bacterial large subunit ribosomal RNA
Source: RNAcentral